Non-coding RNA from Arachis ipaensis, 921 nucleotides. The record is from RefSeq and is a predicted model, not a curated record. Lineage: Eukaryota; Viridiplantae; Streptophyta; Magnoliopsida; Fabales; Fabaceae.
UGGUUUCCUUAUAAAUGCAGUUGCAUGUUUUGGCAUUGAUACUUCUAUCUCCUUCGUUUUCUCCUGAUCUGUUGAUUCAGCUAUCAAUGUUUAAGAAGAAUUAUGACCAUCUUCCAAAAGAUAUAUACUUUGGCAAUUACAAAGAUUCUGUACGUGGGAUUCCAAACUACUUUCUGACUUACGAAAAUGGUAAAUCAGCUGCCUGUAUACAAGAUCAUCUUCGUCCAAAUGGUGCACACAGAUGGGAUAAUUACAUGAAAUCCCCAAAUGAGAUCAAGUUGGAGGAGGCAGCUGUUUUGCAUUACACAUUCUAAAUUCUCAUACCUCACUUUCAGACGUGAUCGCUGUGGUUGCCCUACCAAAGAAGAUGUAAAAAGAUGCUUCAUGUUGGAAUUUGACAGAUCUAAAGUGCAAUUACUCUCUGCUGCUACAAGGACAAUAACACAGCCAUGGCUGCUUCAGUUUCAACCAUAGGAACUGUCAAAGGAACUCCAGUGAGUUUGAAUGGUUCUAGAGCUGUGGCUUCAUCAGUUCCCAAUUCAUCAGCUUUCUUCGGAAGCAGCUUGAAGAAGGUUACAUCAAGAAUCCACAGCAGUAGCAAGGUUUCCUCCGGAAGCUUCAACAUUGUAGCGAUCGAUGAGGACAAGCAGAUAGAUAAGGACAGAUGGAAAGGGUUGGCCUAUGAUAUCUCAGGUGACCAGCAAGACAUCACAAGAGGGAAGGGUAUUUUAUAGUUUUUAGAGGAUGUAGAUAAUGUAAUAGUUGUUGGAAUUGUAAUGCAUGUAAUACAAAUUCAUGGGUAGUUGUUAUCACUUUGAUUUUUUAUUAGAGCUUGUCAUGUGAUCAACCACUAUAUUUGGUGUACAAGUUUAUGAAGGUUUUAUAUUGUUAAUAGUAAUUAAAAUUGUUAUGGAGGUUUUA